GACGAAGGUGGCGAGCGUUGUUCGGAUUUACUGGGCGUAAAGGGCGCGUAGGCGGCCACCGCAAGUCGACUGUGAAAUCUCCGGGCUUAACCCGGAAAGGUCAGCCGAUACUGCGGGGCUAGAGUGCAGAAGGGGCAACUGGAAUUCUCGGUGUAGCGGUGAAAUGCGUAGAUAUCGAGAGGAACACCUGCGGCGAAGGCGGGUUGCUGGGCUGACACUGACGCUGAUGCGCGAAAGCUAGGGGAGCGAACGGG
RNAcentral lists this ribosomal RNA (254 nucleotides) under uncultured bacterium. Its description in RNAcentral is "partial 16S ribosomal RNA". It matches the Rfam family "Bacterial small subunit ribosomal RNA", at positions 524 to 776 of the family's 1533-position model. The record is from RNAcentral.